Molecule: non-coding RNA, 916 nt
Organism: Triticum urartu
Lineage: Eukaryota; Viridiplantae; Streptophyta; Magnoliopsida; Poales; Poaceae
Source: RefSeq, a predicted model, not a curated record
UGUGAUAACCUUCUCCUUGUGCGCUUCAGGAUGGGAGAUCAAUAUAUUGAUGUUUUCUCUGGUAAAUGUGAAGUUCCGGUCUAUCCAAAAAGCGACUAAUGUCUAGCAAUCUGCAGCAAGAACUUUAUCCACUCAUCUGGUCCAACUUACACCCAUGGAAUUCUCCAUCCACACCUCUCUCUUCGUGAAAGCAAUUGCUAGAUUUGUAUGCAUUGCAGCAGUCAGCCAGAGGCUUCUAGUUUUUCCUCCAUCUGAAGCCUAGCGCUUAGAGAUCUUGUCCUCUGCAUUACCUGUGGGAAAGUUAAAACCAAGCAAGAUGUCCUUUGAUAUGCACGAGUGACCUUUGGUGCCAUGGGAAGAAAUGUUAUGCCAAGAAGAUUUCGGAGAUGUUAUUGACCUUUGGUUCUGUACCAUCCUUUGGCAUGUAUAGAAUUGUUUCUGAUAACUACUGUAGGUCCAACCUGGAAGCUGCAGAACUUUUGCAUCAUGUGCAGCAAGAAGGACAUGUACCCCACUUUGAGACGCAAUGGUCUGUGAUAAGCAAUUUAUAAGCAGUACUAAUAGGAAGACUGAAGGACAUGAACAAUCUCUAUUUCCAAUCAUGUGCAUGGAUCUCAAGCAAUAAAAUUGGGUGGUGGAGAUAGGGUACAAUGGUUGUUGGAGGGGCCCCUGAUGUGUGGCGGUUGGAGUUGACAAAGAUCUGGCCUCCUCGUCACCAGGCGACAGUCUAGAUGUUGCAGAUGACCUUCCAUCACACUUUAGUUUGACCUGAAACUGCCUCAGGGGCAGCCACCAGUGCAUUUUCACAGACCUUCUCUCCACUAAUUGCAUACGGUUGUUAAGGAGGCCAAAAAGUACAUAUUCCACCUUUUCUACCCAUAUUUUUAAUAGCCAGUUGUUCGACCCACGCUUUAUA